CUACUGUUUUGUUUAUCUGGAAUGUUGUGUGGGAGUCCAUCAGGAAUUGCUGGUCUGCAGUAAAUUUGUCAGGCUAGGUGAUGAACAUCAAUGAAUCAGAAAAUGUAUUGCAUGGGUGGUGAAUGUUCUGACAGUUUUAACAGUUGUGAUGUGGUGUAUUUCACUUCCACGCAUCAUGUAGAAGUUGGUGACGUGAUACAAUGAACAUGGAAAAAUCACCUGCGCCCACGUUGACGAUGAUACCUGUACCAAAGUGCUGGAAACUAAAAUUAAAUUUUCCUUACAAUUUGGUUUCAGGCUAUCUUUAUAAUUUUUUAAUAGUUUUGCAUUUAUUGAUGAGUCCGCAAGCUCUUAGCUGAUUUCCUCCUUUAGAUACCGCCUGUCGACGAUUUGACAGCCUCACACAAUU
Molecule: long non-coding RNA, 409 nt
Organism: Daphnia carinata
Lineage: Eukaryota; Metazoa; Arthropoda; Branchiopoda; Diplostraca; Daphniidae
Exons: 3
Source: RefSeq, a predicted model, not a curated record